UACGAGGGGGGGCGAGCGUUGUUCGGAAUUAUUGGGCGUAAAGGGUGCGUAGGCGGUUUGGUAAGUCUUAUGUGAAAUCUACAGGCUCAACUUGUAGUCUGCAUGAGAAACUGCCGGGCUUGAGUAUGGGAGAGGUGAGUGGAAUUCCUGGUGUAGCGGUGAAAUGCGUAGAUAUCAGGAGGAACACCUGUGGCGAAAGCGGCUCACUGGACCAUAACUGACGCUGAUGCACGAAAGCUAGGGGAGCAAACAGG
RNAcentral lists this ribosomal RNA (254 nucleotides) under uncultured bacterium. Its description in RNAcentral is "partial 16S ribosomal RNA". It matches the Rfam family "Bacterial small subunit ribosomal RNA", at positions 524 to 776 of the family's 1533-position model. The record is from RNAcentral.